This is a long non-coding RNA of Fukomys damarensis (Damara mole-rat), 2124 nucleotides long. RefSeq lists it as uncharacterized. The record is from RefSeq and is a predicted model, not a curated record. Lineage: Eukaryota; Metazoa; Chordata; Mammalia; Rodentia; Bathyergidae. The transcript has 3 exons.
GGGACAUAUGCCAGAGCAGACAUAAAUUUCCCAGGAGUGAAAAGAAGACAUAUUGAAGGAAAUCAGGAGCGUGCCAGCACAGGUGAUCAAGAAAUUAGGAUGUCAGAGGAACUGCCGAAGUCCAGAGCCAGGCCAGAGCCUCCUGGCAGGAGGGACCCAGGGGCCAGCAAGGCCUGAAGCCGGGGGAAGGGAGGGACGAGCGGGUCCUAACUUGCAGAGCAGAGGAGCGGCGGCCCAGAGGAGCUGAUGCAGGAAGCAGUCUCCGGCUAGGCUUUAAAUGCAUCCUGUAGGCCCAGAAGGAACUGCCCAGUCUGCAGACUUCAGCAAGGCCGUGCUGGUGGAGUAAGGACAAAGCAAGCCACAUUUGCACAGACACGGAGCCACCGAGCAGUCUCUUUCCUUCAGAGAUGCUGCCGUUAUAGUCCAGGGUGCAUGGUCCCUCUGUCCUGCAGUUCCUGCCCCUUCUCACGCCUCCUUCUUCCUGCACCAACCUUGUUGCAAAAUUCAGCCCCUAUUGGACGUCCUGAAAAAGAAUCUGUGAGCACAAGUACUCUGGUGAGUGGUAUAGACUUCACUUCAGAUUUAGGAAGGGGUCUACACAUGCUAGCAGUCGGCAACAACCUAACUCUCCAUGGAUAUUUCUUGUCUUCUUUGUCAUUUGUGCAACUCAAAAACUCAGAUGGACAAUUUGGUGAGACGUGGCGUUCAUGUACACAGGGAGAGUGAAAUUCCAGCUCAGGAGUGACUGCCUCAGUCCGUGUACUGUGGAAGCUGGACCAGGUGCAGGUGGGGAGGGGAAGGUUAGGGUAUGGGGAACCUAAUGUCUUAUACAUCCACUUUCUAGAAAGCCUUUUCAUGAGGGAUAAUCUACUCUUUGCAGCAGCCCUAUGAAAUUCACAUCUUUAGCACCAUUUCGUAAGCAUGGAAACAGCACCCAGAAAGAACAGGGAAAAAAUUGGGAGCAGCUGAAUCACAUGACUUGCAAAUUGGAAGCCAGAAUUCCAACUGGGAUCUGACGGGCAUGGGUUGAAUGGAGGAAGAAUCAUUUCCUUUGGGUGCUGAGCACUGAGCAUGUCCCUGGGAGGAUCAGUUUCCCUUGGGCGUGGGCAUGAGGUCCUAUUGAUGAUGACAGCGCUGAGCUGCCAUCUCCUCCGCUGACCACAAGCCCUUUGAGGUUAGGGAAAAGCCAUUCCUCACACAGCAGCAACAGCAAUGGACUCUACCAUUUCUUGGACCGCCAGCUCUGUGCUGAUAGCUUCCGUGAAUUACUGCACUCAUCCCUCCAGUCAGCACACAGUCCUGGCCCCGGAGAGGGAAUAGGCACAGAAAUUAAACAACCUGCCCACGCGGAAGCCCAGCUGGGGUGGCUCGUCCAGGUGGGAUGAGCGUGAGACGGAGCAUGUAGGAAUGCUGUUCUUCAUGCCCCGGGUCCUGCCUGCAUAGCCUCAGUCACUACAGCAGCAUCUAUCCAGUACCUUCUCUCUACUAACUGCAGAGCAACUCGGACAAAGACAUCCGAUGCCCUGGAAGUAACCGACACCCGGGGCUGAUGACUUCAGGAGAUAUUUCUCAGGAAGAACGGAUCAGACUCUGCCUGAUUGCCAGGGAUCAGAGAGGUUGUGUGUGUGGACUCUGGAGAAGGACACACCAAGUUCUGAAUUGAAAGCCACCUUCAUAGUCCCACGUUCCAACAUUGCCCAAUUUGCUGGGAAUAAUGACAAUAUAUCCGUGAUAGGAUUUUGACAAGAACUCCAUGAGACUUUGAACCAGGAAGAAGGAAAGCACAUGGCCCAAAGGCAGAAUCCAAUUAAAGGCAUCUAUUAUGAUUAAUAAAUAGCAAGCAUUUUUAGUAACAGAAAAAAUGUGAGAAUGAGAAUUGUUCAAGGAUUUCACGUGUGGGUAUUUGGGUCACUGGGGACAAUUCGUACAGCAUGGCGUUCUGGAAGAGAAGGAGUUUGUGGGUGGUGCGUUUGCUUUGUGGUGGGGCCGUUGUAUUUAAACAGGCAGAGCUGGGCACACAGGACUGAAACCCUAAGGAGGGGUCAGCGUGUGGCAUAGAGAGUAGCAUAGAAAUCAUGGCUGAGACUGUGAGAAUAAACAAGGAACUCUAGAAAGAGAAUAGAA